This 97-nucleotide unclassified non-coding RNA is filed under the name Natronobacterium haloterrestre. RNAcentral's name for it is "Halobiforma haloterrestris HgcC family RNA". Lineage: Archaea; Methanobacteriati; Methanobacteriota; Halobacteria; Halobacteriales; Natrialbaceae. The record is from RNAcentral.
GACAGGUCGUGAACCAGCAAAUAUCCCAACUCAACGGCACGGUGCCGUGGGAAGCCUCGCCGUUUACGGCGAGGAGGAGGUCACCAGGCUGAUGUAG